RNAcentral lists this transfer RNA (71 nucleotides) under Paenibacillus lautus. It matches the Rfam family "tRNA". From Rfam's summary of the family: Transfer RNA (tRNA) molecules are approximately 80 nucleotides in length. Their secondary structure includes four short double-helical elements and three loops (D, anti-codon, and T loops). The record is from RNAcentral. Lineage: Bacteria; Bacillati; Bacillota; Bacilli; Caryophanales; Paenibacillaceae. RNAcentral also lists the same sequence under 10 other names.
GAGGCUUAGCUCAGCUGGGAGAGCAUCUGCCUUACAAGCAGAGGGUCGGGGGUUCGAUCCCCUCAGCCUCC